Molecule: ribosomal RNA, 532 nt
Filed under: uncultured eukaryote
Lineage: Eukaryota
Description: bacterial SSU rRNA
Rfam family: Eukaryotic small subunit ribosomal RNA
Source: RNAcentral
AAGUGACAGGACCUAGCACGAGCCGGCGCGCCUCGGGGCAACCCCGAGCCGCGGUCCGGCGCCUGGAACUGAGAGCAACCCAAACCCCUCACCGAGGAUCCGUCGGAGGGCAAGUCUGGUGCCAGCAGCCGCGGUAAUUCCAGCUCCAAUAGCGUAUAUUAAAGUUGUUGCAGUUAAAAAGCUCGUAGUUGAAGUUCUGAUUGUUCGGCCUCGUGCUUUAUAGCCGAGGAACCGACAGUCAUCCGCUUGCAAAUAUAUGUUUGCCUUUAAUUGGGUGGCUAUAUGAGUAAGCAAUUUACCUUGAGAAAAACAGAGUGUUCCAGGCAGGUUUGUCCGGAAUGCAUUAGCAUGGAAUAAUAGAAUAUGACUGAAGUCGAUUUAUUGGUUUAAGGCUUUAGUAAUGAUUAAUAGGAACAGUCGGGGGCAUUGGUACUUGACAGUCAGAGGUGAAAUUCUAGGAUUUGUCAAAGACUAACAAAUGCGAAAGCAUUUGCCAAGGAUGUUUUCAUUAAUCAAGAACGAAAGUUAGGGG